UACGUAGGGGGCAAGCGUUGUCCGGAUUUAUUGGGCGUAAAGAGCGUGUAGGCGGCCAGGUAGGUCCGCUGUGAAAACUCGAGGCUUAACCUCGAGAUGUCGGUGGAAACCAUCUGGCUAGAGUCCGGAAGAGGAGAGUGGAAUUCCUGGUGUAGCGGUGAAAUGCGCAGAUAUCAGGAAGAACACCAAUGGCGAAGGCAGCUCUCUGGGACGGUACUGACGCUGAGACGCGAAAGCGUGGGGAGCGAACAGG
Molecule: ribosomal RNA, 253 nt
Filed under: uncultured bacterium
Lineage: Bacteria
Description: partial 16S ribosomal RNA
Rfam family: Bacterial small subunit ribosomal RNA
Source: RNAcentral